GACGAACGCUGGCGGCGUGCUUAACACAUGCAAGUCGAACGGAAAGGCCCUGCUUUUGUGGGGUGCUCGAGUGGCGAACGGGUGAGUAACACGUGAGUAACCUGCCCUUGACUUUGGGAUAACUUCAGGAAACUGGGGCUAAUACCGGAUAGGAUCUCCUGCUGCAUGGUGGGGGUUGGAAAGUUUCGGCGGUUGGGGAUGGACUCGCGGCUUAUCAGCUUGUUGGUGGGGUAGUGGCUUACCAAGGCUUUGACGGGUAGCCGGCCUGAGAGGGUGACAGGCCACAUUGGGACUGAGAUACGGCCAAGACUCCUACGGGAGGCAGCAGUGGGGAAUAUUGCACAAUGGGCGGAAGCCGGAUGCAGCAACGCCGCGUGCGGGAUGACGGCCUUCGGGUUGUAAACCGCUUUCGCCUGUGACGAAGCGUGAGUGACGGUAAUGGGUAAAGAAGCACCGGCUAACUACGU
This 467-nucleotide ribosomal RNA is filed under the name uncultured bacterium. RNAcentral's name for it is "partial 16S ribosomal RNA". It matches the Rfam family "Bacterial small subunit ribosomal RNA", at positions 28 to 506 of the family's 1533-position model. The record is from RNAcentral.